RNAcentral lists this ribosomal RNA (410 nucleotides) under uncultured microorganism. Its description in RNAcentral is "bacterial SSU rRNA". It matches the Rfam family "Bacterial small subunit ribosomal RNA", at positions 509 to 917 of the family's 1533-position model. The record is from RNAcentral.
CAGCAGCCGCGGUAAUACGUAGGGUGCGAGCGUUAAUCGGAUUUACUGGGCGUAAAGCGUGCGCAGGCGGCCCGUUAAGACAGGUGUGAAAUCCCUGGGCUCAACCUAGGAAUUGCGCUUGUGACUGGCGGGCUCGAGUACGGUAGAGGGGGGUGGAAUUCCUGGUGUAGCAGUGAAAUGCGUAGAGAUCAGGAGGAACACCGAUGGCGAAGGCAGCCCCCUGGGCCUGUACUGACGCUCAUGCACGAAAGCGUGGGGAGCAAACAGGAUUAGAUACCCUGGUAGUCCACGCCCUAAACGAUGGGUACUAGCCGUUUGGUGCGCGAUAGCGCUGAGUGGCGAAGCUAACGCGUGAAGUACCCCGCCUGGGGAGUACGGCCGCAAGGUUGAAACUUAAAGGAAUUGGCGAG